RNAcentral lists this microRNA precursor (120 nucleotides) under Pelobates cultripes (western spadefoot toad). The record is from RNAcentral. Lineage: Eukaryota; Metazoa; Chordata; Amphibia; Anura; Pelobatidae.
CCUCCCCAAAUCUAUGGGCUGCUGCCCCCCUCCCCAAAUCUAUGGACUGCUGCCCCGGGGGGGGGCAGCAGUCCAUAGAUUUGGGGAGGGGGGCAGCAGCCCAUAGAUUUGGGGAGGGGG